This is a long non-coding RNA of Vicia villosa (hairy vetch), 574 nucleotides long. RefSeq lists it as uncharacterized. Lineage: Eukaryota; Viridiplantae; Streptophyta; Magnoliopsida; Fabales; Fabaceae. The record is from RefSeq and is a predicted model, not a curated record. The transcript has 3 exons.
GUUAAUCAUUUUUUACGGUCCUGGCUGAAACCGGUCGUUGUCGUCGCCAUCGAAGUUGAUCUCAAUCAAAUCAAAGUCAAGCUCUUCAACAGAUAAAGCUUCGACGAUGUUCAGCUUAAUGAUGUGCCUCUUGGAGAUUACAUUGGAGUUCAAUAGUCCAAGAAUGCUACAUAUGUGCCUCACACUGCAGGUAGGUACUAAGUGAGGCAUGCCAUGGAAAUCUUUCACUUGCUAACUGAAAAUGAGGAUUUAUUGAUUUCUUAUUGGUUUGAUUUCCUGGAUGAUGGCAUUUUUGUAAUAGCUUUUGGAGUGGUUUUAUUUGAACUCAUUACUGGAAGAAAACCAAUUUAAACCAAAAGAUUUCCAUGAGAAGAGAAUUUAGUAUUACGGCCAUAUUAUCUGAAGAGUGGCAACACAACUACAAGGCAGACUGGAGGUUCCCUUGCUUCCUCAACAAAAUCAUUGGCGUCCCAGAUCAUGGACUUGAUGUUUGGAUUCUAUAUCAAACUUUAUCAUCCUUCCUAUUUUAUUAUAAGCAAUAUUUUUACUUGGUUAUUCAUACUCUCUAAAGAGG